UAGGCCUAACACAUGCAAGUCGAACGGCAGCACGGACUUCGGUCUGGUGGCGAGUGGCGAACGGGUGAGUAAUGUAUCGGAACGUGCCCAGUAGCGGGGGAUAACUACGCGAAAGCGUAGCUAAUACCGCAUACGCCCUACGGGGGAAAGCAGGGGAUCGCAAGACCUUGCACUAUUGGAGCGGCCGAUAUCGGAUUAGCUAGUUGGUGGGGUAACGGCUCACCAAGGCGACGAUCCGUAGCUGGUUUGACAGGACGACCAGCCACACUGGGACUGAGACACGGCCCAGACUCCUACGGGAGGCAGCAGUGGGGAAUUUUGGACAAUGGGGGAAACCCUGAUCCAGCCAUCCCGCGUGUGCGAUGAAGGCCUUCGGGUUGUAAAGCACUUUUGGCAGGAAAGAAACGUCAUGGGUUAAUACCCCGUGAAACUGACGGUACCUGCAGAAUAAGCACCGGCUAACUACGUGCCAGCAGCCGCGGUAUACGUAGGGUGCAAGCGUUAAUCGGAAUUACUGGGCGUAAAGCGUGCGCAGGCGGUUCGGAAAGAAAGAUGUGAAAUCCCAGAGCUUAACUUUGGAACUGCAUUUUUAACUACCGGGCUAGAGUGUGUCAGAGGGAGGUGGAAUUCCGCGUGUAGCAGUGAAAUGCGUAGAUAUGCGGAGGAACACCGAUGGCGAAGGCAGCCUCC
This 690-nucleotide ribosomal RNA is filed under the name uncultured bacterium. RNAcentral's name for it is "bacterial SSU rRNA". It matches the Rfam family "Bacterial small subunit ribosomal RNA", at positions 43 to 729 of the family's 1533-position model. The record is from RNAcentral.